Molecule: ribosomal RNA, 194 nt
Filed under: uncultured bacterium
Lineage: Bacteria
Description: partial 16S ribosomal RNA
Rfam family: Bacterial small subunit ribosomal RNA
Source: RNAcentral
CCUACGGGAGGCAGCAGUGGGGAAUAUUGCACAAUGGGCGCAAGCCUGAUGCAGCCAUGCCGCGUGUGUGAAGAAGGCUUUCGGGUUGUAAAGCACUUUCAGUGAGGAGGAAAAGUUGGUCGUUAAUACCGGCCAGCCUUGACGUUACUCACAGAAGAAGCACCGGCUAACUCCGUGCCAGCAGCCGCGGUAAU